Molecule: ribosomal RNA, 419 nt
Filed under: bacterium
Lineage: Bacteria
Description: partial 16S ribosomal RNA
Rfam family: Bacterial small subunit ribosomal RNA
Source: RNAcentral
UGGGGGAUAUUGCACAAUGGGCGAAAGCCUGAUGCAGCGACGCCGCGUGGGGGAUGAAGGCCUUCGGGUUGUAAACUUCUUUUGCUCUGAACAAGGCGCACCAUGGGGUGUGUUGAGUGUAGGGGUUGAUUAGCGCCGGCUAACUACGUGCCAGCAGCCGCGGUAAUACGUAGGGCGCGUGCGUUGUCCGGAAUUAUUGGGCGUAAAGGGCUUGUAGGUGGCUGGUUGCGUCUGUCGUGAAAGCUCAUGGCUUAACUGUGGGUUUGCGGUGGGUACGGGCUGGCUUGAGUGCAGUAGGGGAGGCUGGAAUUCCUGGUGUAGCGGUGGAAUGCGCAGAUAUCAGGAGGAAUACCGGUGGCGAAGGCGGGUCUCUGGGCUGUUACUGACACUGAGGAGCGAAAGCAUGGGGAGCGAACAGG